RNAcentral lists this ribosomal RNA (253 nucleotides) under uncultured bacterium. RNAcentral's name for it is "partial 16S ribosomal RNA". It matches the Rfam family "Bacterial small subunit ribosomal RNA", at positions 524 to 776 of the family's 1533-position model. The record is from RNAcentral.
UACGUAGGCAGCGAGCGUUGUUCGGAAUUACUGGGCGUAAAGAGUGUGUAGGCGGUGCUCUAAGUUCGGGGUGAAAUCUCCUGGCUCAACUGGGAGGGUGCGCCGGAAACUGGAGUGCUUGAGCGUGGGAGAGGAAAGCGGAAUUCCUGGUGUAGCGGUGAAAUGCGUAGAUAUCAGGAGGAACACCUGUGGUGUAGACGGCUUUCUGGACCAUAGCUGACGCUGAGACACGAAAGCGUGGGGAGCAAACAGG